Molecule: long non-coding RNA, 1681 nt
Organism: Aphis gossypii (cotton aphid)
Lineage: Eukaryota; Metazoa; Arthropoda; Insecta; Hemiptera; Aphididae
Exons: 4
Source: RefSeq, a predicted model, not a curated record
AAGCGAGUGAAUAAGAAACCUGUUGAGCGCUGAACAGUGCAACAAAAGCCCUGGCAGCAGAUUGUUAGUGCGCGUGAUACGGCCACGCGAAUAUAAUAUAAUCCAUACUAUACUGCACGCAGACUAGAUCUAAACAGAGAUGGAGAUCAUAGCAGAGAAAUGCGGGAUCGGCUGAUUUUCCUCAUUGUCGGGUUGAUGUUCAUAUCGUAUCGAACACGACUCACUAUAUCAAAGUUCCGGUAGCUGUUAAUGAAAACAUUAUAGUAUAAGGUUAUAGAAACAGCGCGGUGAUAAUAUGAAAAUAUGACGGUAUUCGAAGAUAAACGAUAUACGAGUAGAAAACGUCAAUCGAUCGAUGGCUAUGGAUUUUCUACUACCAUCUACGUCUACCCAGCAGAUGAUGACGUGUAUGUUGCAACCGUCGGAAUCUGUAGGGGCUAAUAAUACAAUCAUAAUGAUUGGUACAAUCAUAGAUGGCAACAGAUGAGUCGUACCACUAACAUCACACCAGACAGUGUUCUUAGAAAUUUAAUGCAUUAUACAGAAUAUAGACGAAUGCUCUAGCCUAACAUUUCGUAAGACUAGUCCCAGGUAUAUCAGACGCGGUUUCAAUAGCUUGUGAAGGACGAUGACGAGCACUUUUGGCUGCCUCAGGUUUGGCAGACCGAAUAGACGUCCUGUGAGCCAUCGACAUUACCAGAUAACAGACAAAUAAGUGUGCUGGAUAUGUGCACUUCUAUCCUGUAGAUUAGCUGUAUUGAGAUUCGACUGUUCACACACAUUUUGUAAGGAUGUCACUGCUUGUACAUGUUUAAGACUUCUAAAUCCUGUUAUGAACGUCACAAAUGCGAUUUUAUCAUCAACCCCGAAACGUAUACUUUCGAAAGUCAACGAGACCUAUCAUAGUGACAAAGAACAGUUAUAUUCUUAUAUUUCUGCAUAAAUAUUAAAGACCAUAAUGUACUCAUCAUUAUGAUAAUAAUCAUUGAUCAUACAUCAUCGUGGGAAGUUGCAAGGUAUACUCAAUCGACGCGGACAAAAAUAAAAUUGAGCUGAUUGUUUUAAAGUUCGAUGUUGUGAAGUUAUACUACUUUACUUGACCACGUUCUUUCAAAUCGCAAUACUAUCAGCACCGCGGGUAUCGUACUUGACACUUGUUGCAUUUAAAACAGGAUUUACGGUUCUGGAACAUUUAUUGAAACACGACUUCCAUCACAAAGUCUUUGCUUUGUCGAGCGACAACACAGCAGCGUUGUGGUUUGAACAAAAAAUGUAUAUCCAGGGCAUCACCUUGUCAGUUAUUUGGUAUAGUCAUUGAUUCACAAGGCGCAUAUUUGGUCUGAUAAAUCUUGGGCAGCCAGGGGAGUUUGUCGACACAUAAAUAACUGCAAAAGCGUCUGCCUUUUCUGGAACAAGCCGUGCGGAAAGUUUGGUCUGAGCAUCGUCUUUAUUGUGUAAUGAAAUUUCUUAAAACAUUGGCUGGUGAGGUGCUUAGUGGUACAUGUCACCUUGUCUCAUCGGCGAUUAGGAACGAUUGUUGUAGUACAUAUCUUUUUUAUCUUUUCGUAUCAUCGAAUAUUGUAAAUAUUUAUAUUAUUUAUCGCCGUUUCUAUGCUGUAUUUGUAUGAUAUCGUAGUUUUCUAUUCGAACUUAAUUAAAAUAAAAAUAAUAUUAAAUUUAA